Molecule: long non-coding RNA, 867 nt
Organism: Clupea harengus (Atlantic herring)
Lineage: Eukaryota; Metazoa; Chordata; Actinopteri; Clupeiformes; Clupeidae
Exons: 2
Source: RefSeq, a predicted model, not a curated record
CCAUUACUGAUUGUGGAGUGAAGCCGCGUUUUGGAGCGUUGUCUUCAGCGACACGGUAGCUGGUUAUAGAGCGGAUGCCAACAGGAACGAGUUGAGCGUCUUCCCUACCAACUGCAAUCCAUAUCCCGUUUACAUGCAUCGCAACGUGUUAAGUAGCAGUCAGUGUAUCAGUGCGGUGGUUAUUGUGGUUGCUGGCCGCAUAUAGAUACCAGGUGCAUGACGUUCUCGGGUGCAGCUGUUCAGACAGCGAAGAAGCUAUUGAAGCACACAGCUAUACUGCAUUGUUAGCUGCUGUUCUCUUCCAGUUAGUUAUAGGUCCGGGUGCUGCUUUUAGAAUAUAUGUAUCUCUGUUUUCCCCUCUAGCCUGGGGGCCUAGGUGUGUAUAUGUGGUUAAGAGGAUAUUGUGAGCCACAGGUUAGAGGGUUUAUUUUUGUUUGUUUGUUUCAUUAAUUUGUUAUCUGUUUCCCCUGUGUCAUCUCCCCUGCCGCAAUAGCCUGGGUAUCGUUUGGGGCCCUAGCCUAGAUUACAGGUUGGCCAGGUUUUCCUCUAAGAUAGUUUCUCACCUUUGAUAAGAUGUGCAGUGUAAUGCAGUGAAGUGUGAACCCCUUUUUCUUAAUGUGCCCAAGUGGUGCGCUUGCGGUGGUGUGGCCAAUGAGCUAGUAGUGUGUGCUCUCCUUCACAUGUGGUAUUGGAGGCAGGCCCCUGUUAGUCUGUGUGGUCAGUGGCUCCGGAUUCUUACCCAACGGCUGGGGCAUUCCCCUGAAGUCCAUUUAAUGUAUUUAUGUAUUUAUUUAUUGACAACCAAAGUGACACCUUGUUUUAACGAGAAACAAAAUUAAACCUAAUCUUUUAUAUCUUUCCAAAGAA